CAGUAGCCGCGGUAAUACGGAGGGGGCUAGCGUUGUUCGGAAUUACUGGGCGUAAAGCGCACGUAGGCGGUUAUUCAAGUCAGAGGUGAAAGCCCGGGGCUCAACCCCGGAACUGCCUUUGAAACUAGAUGACUGGAAUCUUGGAGAGGUCAGUGGAAUUCCGAGUGUAGAGGUGAAAUUCGUAGAUAUUCGGAAGAACACCAGUGGCGAAGGCGACUGACUGGACAAGUAUUGACGCUGAGGAGCGAAAGCGUGGGGAGCGAACAGGAUUAGAUACCCCAGUAGUCCCUGUCUCUUAUAC
Molecule: ribosomal RNA, 301 nt
Filed under: uncultured bacterium
Lineage: Bacteria
Description: partial 16S ribosomal RNA
Rfam family: Bacterial small subunit ribosomal RNA
Source: RNAcentral